AAAGGUAAGCUACUAAGAGCGAAUGGUGGAUGCCUUGACUGGUAAAGGCGAUGAAGGACGUACUAGACUGCGAUAAGCUACGGGGAGCUGUCAAGAAGCUUUGAUCCGUAGAUUUCCGAAUGGGGCAACCCAAUGUAUAGAGAUAUACAUUACCUAUAUAGGAGCGAACGAGGGGAAUUGAAACAUCUUAGUACCCUCAGGAAAAGAAAUCAAUAGAGAUUGCGUCAGUAGCGGCGAGCGAAAGCGUAAGAGGGCAAACCCAGUGCUUGCACUGGGGGUUGUAGGACUGCAAUGUGCAAGAGGUGAGUUUAGCAGAACAUUCUGGAAAGUAUAGCCAUAGAGGGUGAUAGUCCCGUAUGCGAAAAACAAACCUUAGCUAGCAGUAUCCUGAGUAGGGCGGGACACGAGAAAUCCUGUCUGAAGCUGGGUCGACCACGAUCCAACCCUAAAUACUAAUACCAGAUCGAUAGUGCACAAGUACCGUGAGGGAAAGGUGAAAAGAACUGAGGUGAUCAG
RNAcentral lists this ribosomal RNA (516 nucleotides) under Campylobacter coli. RNAcentral describes it as "partial 23S ribosomal RNA". It matches the Rfam family "Bacterial large subunit ribosomal RNA", at positions 1 to 536 of the family's 2925-position model. Lineage: Bacteria; Pseudomonadati; Campylobacterota; Epsilonproteobacteria; Campylobacterales; Campylobacteraceae. The record is from RNAcentral.